GUGAUUGCUCAUGGAAUCAAUGUCGGAGAUGUGAAGAAGCUUCAAGAUGCUAGGAUCUACACUUGCAAUGGCUUGAUGAUGCACACGAAGAAGAACUACUCAAUCAUUUCCGACCAUCAAGAAGUCAUUGAUGGAAGACCAGGGACUCUGGGAAUAGAAUCCUUUGUAGGACGUGCCCGAGGGAAACACCAAGGACCAAAAGAUUGACACAUUCAAUAAGCAAAACAAUGUCAAAACCCAGGUCAACCCAAUACAAUUCAGCAACAUUAAGACAAGUAAAAAACACUAACACACAUUUUUAAGUAAAAAAAUAAUUCUAAAUUUUAACUAAAAGGACACCAUCACCCACAAAACUAACACAAAUGUCAAAGACAGCCACAAUCCAUCAAUAAGCAUCCAAACACAGUAAAAGUUUGGAGGAACUGAACUAGAUUGGAAGAUCAUGUAGUUAUAGAUUAAAUUGUUGUCUUCUUUUAGGAGUAUUUUGUCUUCAGUCCACCAACAUAAAUGAGAUGGUUCAGCUGAGCCUAUGACAGUAAAGUCUAUGAGGUCCACCAUGACUAUCAUUAUGACAUUGUGAUUUGUUCAUGAUCACAUUAUACAUUACAAUAAAUAAAAAUUUUAAGUAUCAAAGUUUUUUGUCUUCAAAAAAUAAGAAUUUUGUUGUAAAAAUCAUUUGAAACCAAUUCUUAUCGUGGAGAAUUUUGUUAUAAAAAACAUUUGGGACCAAUUCUUAUCGUGACGAGUAUAAUCGUUAAAAAGUCA
Non-coding RNA from Camellia sinensis, 765 nucleotides. Lineage: Eukaryota; Viridiplantae; Streptophyta; Magnoliopsida; Ericales; Theaceae. The record is from RefSeq and is a predicted model, not a curated record.